RNAcentral lists this ribosomal RNA (759 nucleotides) under Triticum aestivum (bread wheat). RNAcentral's name for it is "partial small subunit ribosomal RNA". The record is from RNAcentral. Lineage: Eukaryota; Viridiplantae; Streptophyta; Magnoliopsida; Poales; Poaceae.
AUGGCGUCGGCGAAGCACGGCAACACUGGGGGGCGCAAACCCUCGGUGUGGAAGGACUUCGACCGCGUCAUCGUGUUCGUGCCCGGCGGCACCGGCGCGGGUGCCAUGGCGGUGUGCAAGAGGUGCGGCACCACCCUCCAAGCCAGCGCAAAGAAACACGGGACCUCGCACCUCCGGCGGCACGCCAAAAGCCCCUGCUGCGCGAAGCGGGCCGCAGCGGCGGCGGCCCCUGCUGCCGGCGGCGACAGCGAUGGAGGGUUCACGAACUGGCUGGAGGGUGUUCUUCUGGUUGAGCCUCAGCUCGACUUCGCCGACCACCUCGUCAUUGCAGGAGGGGACGAGCUUGUGGAUGCCGUCGCCGAACGGGCCGUGGCGGCCCCCCCUGCUGCCGACGACGACAGCGACGGGGGGUUCGCGAACUGGCUGGAGGGUGUUCUGGUUGAGCCUCAGCUCGACUUCGCCGACCGCCUCAUCAUCGCAGGAGGGGACGAGCUAGUGGAUGAAGUCGCCGAUGUGCCGGCCGCCGGAGAUCAUGGACGCGUUUCCCCCAACUUCAUUCCAGAUGCGCUGCCCCAGGCACCGGCUUCGUCGUCCACGCGCUUCUUCCAGAAGAAAAAAAAGAGGUCUGCAAGUCUGCCUUCGCAGGAAGGAGGAACAAAGGACAACGACAAUUCUUCUCGUGCCAAGGACUGGGCGCCGACGGUCGACAAUUCCACGUUCGACGACAUGGAUUUUACUGCUUCUGGGGAUUGGGAAUGA